ACCUUUGCAAUAGGCGAAAGCCUGACAAGGUUACUCUGAGUGAUCUCCGCUAAGGAAAUCUUUUGACACCUCUAAAAAUGGUGUAGAAUAAGGGGUGGGCAAGCCUGGUGUCAGCCGCCGCGGUAAUACCAGCACCCCGAGUGGUCGGGACGAUUAUUGGGCCUAAAGCAUCCGUAGCCGGUUCUUUAAGUCCUCCGUUAAAUCCACCUGCUUAACAGAUGGGCUGCGGAGGAUACUAUAGAGCUAGGAGGCGGGAGAGGCAAGCGGUACUCAGUGGGUAGGGGUAAAAUCCGUUGAUCCAUUGAAGACCACCAGUGGCGAAGGCGGCUUGCCAGAACGCGCUCGACGGUGAGGGAUGAAAGCUGGGGGAGCAAACCGGAUUAGAUACCCGGGUAGUCCCAGCUGUAAACGAUGCAGACUCGGUGAUGAACAGGCUUCGUGCCUGUUCAGUGCCGCAGGGAAGCCGUUAAGUCUGCCGCCUGGGGAGUACGGUCGCAAGACUGAAACUUAA
This 511-nucleotide ribosomal RNA is filed under the name uncultured archaeon. RNAcentral describes it as "bacterial SSU rRNA". It matches the Rfam family "Archaeal small subunit ribosomal RNA", at positions 346 to 859 of the family's 1478-position model. The record is from RNAcentral.